This 837-nucleotide ribosomal RNA is filed under the name Colletotrichum camelliae. RNAcentral's name for it is "LSU rRNA". It matches the Rfam family "Eukaryotic large subunit ribosomal RNA", at positions 49 to 917 of the family's 3401-position model. Lineage: Eukaryota; Fungi; Ascomycota; Sordariomycetes; Glomerellales; Glomerellaceae. The record is from RNAcentral.
UGCGGAGGAAAAGAAACCAACAGGGAUUGCCUCAGUAACGGCGAGUGAAGCGGCAACAGCUCAAAUUUGAAAUCUGGCCCCAGGCCCGAGUUGUAAUUUGCAGAGGAUGCUUUUGGUGAGGUGCCUUCCAAGUUCCCUAGAACGGGACGCCAGAGAGGGUGAGAGCCCCGUACAGUUGGACACCAAGCCUUUGUAAAGCUCCUUCGACGAGUCGAGUAGUUUGGGAAUGCUGCUCAAAAUGGGAGGUAUAUUUCUUCUAAAGCUAAAUACCGGCCAGAGACCGAUAGCGCACAAGUAGAGUGAUCGAAAGAUGAAAAGCACUUUGAAAAGAGGGUUAAACAGCACGUGAAAUUGUUAAAAGGGAAGCGCUUGUGACCAGACUUGCGUCCGGUGAAUCACCCAGCUCUCGCGGCUGGGGCACUUCGCCGGCUCAGGCCAGCAUCAGCUCGCUGUCGGGGACAAAAGCUUCAGGAACGUAGCUCUCUUCGGGGAGUGUUAUAGCCUGUUGCAUAAUACCCUUCGGCGGGCUGAGGUACGCGCUCCGCAAGGAUGCUGGCAUAAUGGUCAUCAGCGACCCGUCUUGAAACACGGACCAAGGAGUCAACCUUAUGUGCGAGUGUUCGGGUGUCAAACCCCUACGCGUAAUGAAAGUGAACGCAGGUGAGAGCUUCGGCGCAUCAUCGACCGAUCCUGAUGUUCUCGGAUGGAUUUGAGUAAGAGCAUAUAGGGUUGGACCCGAAAGAAGGUGAACUAUGCGUGUGUAGGGUGAAGCCAGAGGAAACUCUGGUGGAGGCUCGCAGCGGUUCUGACGUGCAAAUCGAUCGUCAAACUUGCGCA